RNAcentral lists this ribosomal RNA (1052 nucleotides) under Hydra viridissima (green hydra). Its description in RNAcentral is "SSU rRNA". It matches the Rfam family "Eukaryotic small subunit ribosomal RNA", at positions 65 to 1122 of the family's 1831-position model. Lineage: Eukaryota; Metazoa; Cnidaria; Hydrozoa; Anthoathecata; Hydridae. The record is from RNAcentral.
AUAAGCACUUGUACUGUGAAACUGCGAAUGGCUUAUUAAAUCAGUUAUCGUUUAUUUGAUUGUACUUUACUACAUGGAUACCUGUGGUAAUUCUAGAGCUAAUACAUGCGAAAAAUCCCGACUUCACGGAAGGGAUGUAUUUAUUAGACUAAAAACCAAUGCGGGUCUCGGCCCGUUUUCUUGGUAAUUCAUGAUAACUUUUCGAAUCGCAUGGCCUUGCGCCGGCGAUGUUUCAUUCAAAUUUCUGCCCUAUCAACUGUCGAUGGUAAGGUAGUGGCUUACCAUGGUUGUAACGGGUGACGGAGAAUUAGGGUUCGAUUCCGGAGAGGGAGCCUGAGAAACGGCUACCACAUCUAAGGAAGGCAGCAGGCACGAAAAUUACCCAAUCCCGAUUCGGGGAGGUAGUGACAAGAAAUAACGGUACGGGGUCUUUAUAGGUCUCGCAAUCGGAAUGAGAACAAUUUAAAUCCUUUAACGAGGAUCAAUUGGAGGGCAAGUCUGGUGCCAGCAGCCGCGGUAAUUCCAGCUCCAAUAGCGUAUAUUAAAGUUGUUGCAGUUAAAAAGCUCGUAGUUGGAUUUCGGAGCGGGCCCGUCGGUCCACCGCAAGGUGAGCUACUGGCGGGUCUGUUCUUCUUCGCAAAGACUGCAGGUGCACUUCACUGUGUGUCUGUCGGAUUUGCGACGUUUACUUUGAAAAAAUUAGAGUGUUCAAAGCAGGCUUUCGCUUGAAUACAUGAGCAUGGAAUAAUGGAAUAGGACUUUGGUUCUAUUUUGUUGGUUUCUAGGACCGAAGUAAUGAUUAAGAGGGACAAUUGGGGGCAUCCGUAUUUCGUUGUCAGAGGUGAAAUUCUUGGAUUUACGAAAGACGAACAACUGCGAAAGCACUUGCCAAGAGUGUUUUCAUUAAUCAAGAACGAAAGUUAGAGGAUCGAAGACGAUCAGAUACCGUCCUAGUUCUAACCAUAAACGAUGUCGACUAGGGAUCAGCGGGCGUUAUUGUACGACCCCGUUGGCACCUUACGGGAAACCAAAGUUUUUGGAUUCCGGGGGAA